Molecule: ribosomal RNA, 253 nt
Filed under: uncultured bacterium
Lineage: Bacteria
Description: partial 16S ribosomal RNA
Rfam family: Bacterial small subunit ribosomal RNA
Source: RNAcentral
UACGUAGGGGGCAAGCGUUGUCCGGAUUUAUUGGGCGUAAAGAGCGUGUAGGCGGCCGUACAGGUCAGCUGUGAAAACUCGAGGCUCAACCUCGAGACGUCGGUUGAAACCGUACGGCUAGAGUCCGGAAGAGGAGAGUGGAAUUCCCGGUGUAGCGGUGAAAUGCGCAGAUAUCGGGAGGAACACCAGCGGCGAAGGCGGCUUUCUGGACCAAUACUGACGCUGAGACGCGAAAGCGUGGGGAGCAAACGGG